UCUGUGACUCCUACGGGAGGCAGCAGUGGGAAUAUUGCACAAUGGGCGCAAGCCUGAUGCAGCCAUGCCGCGUGUAUGAAGAAGGCCUUCGGGUUGUAAAGUACUUUCAGCAGUGAGGAAGGUGGUGCAGUUAAUAGCUGUAUCAUUUGACGUUAGCUGCAGAAGAAGCACCGGCUAACUCCGUGCCAGCAGCCGCGGUAAUACGGAGGGUGCGAGCGUUAAUCGGAAUUACUGGGCGUAAAGCGCAUGCAGGUGGUUUGUUAAGUCAGAUGUGAAAGCCCCGGGGCUCAACCUCGGAAUUGCAUUUGAAACUGGCAGACUAGAGUACUGUAGAGGGGGUAGAAUUUCAGGUGUAGCGGUGAAAUGCGUAGAGAUCUGAAGGAAUACCGGUGGCGAAGGCGGCCCCCUGGACAGAUACUGACACUCAGAUGCGAAAGCGUGGGGAGCAAACAGGAUUAGAUACCCUGGUAG
This 471-nucleotide ribosomal RNA is filed under the name uncultured bacterium. RNAcentral's name for it is "bacterial SSU rRNA". It matches the Rfam family "Bacterial small subunit ribosomal RNA", at positions 329 to 793 of the family's 1533-position model. The record is from RNAcentral.